Molecule: ribosomal RNA, 1154 nt
Filed under: Alternaria sp. G55
Lineage: Eukaryota; Fungi; Ascomycota; Dothideomycetes; Pleosporales; Pleosporaceae
Description: eukaryotic LSU rRNA
Rfam family: Eukaryotic large subunit ribosomal RNA (bases 534-1154)
Source: RNAcentral
GAAGUAAAAGUCGUAACAAGGUCUCCGUAGGUGAACCUGCGGAGGGAUCAUUACACAAUAUGAAAGCGGGCUGGCAUCCUUCGGGGUUACAGCCUUGCUGAAUUAUUCACCCGUGUCUUUUGCGUACUUCUUGUUUCCUUGGUGGGUUCGCCCACCAUAGGACAAACCAUAAACCUUUUGUAAUUGCAAUCAGCGUCAGUAAAAAAAUUAAUAAUUACAACUUUUAACAACGGAUCUCUUGGUUCUGGCAUCGAUGAAGAACGCAGCGAAAUGCGAUAAGUAGUGUGAAUUGCAGAAUUCAGUGAAUCAUCGAAUCUUUGAACGCACAUUGCGCCCUUUGGUAUUCCAAAGGGCAUGCCUGUUCGAGCGUCAUUUGUACCCUCAAGCUUUGCUUGGUGUUGGGCGUCUUGUCUCCAGUUCGCUGGAGACUCGCCUUAAAGUAAUUGGCAGCCGGCCUACUGGUUUCGGAGCGCAGCACAAGUCGCGCUCUCUUCCAGCCAAGGUCAGCAUCCACAAAGCCUUUUUUCAACUUUUGACCUCGGAUCAGGUAGGGAUACCCGCUGAACUUAAGCAUAUCAAUAAGCGGAGGAAAAGAAACCAACAGGGAUUGCCCUAGUAACGGCGAGUGAAGCGGCAACAGCUCAAAUUUGAAAUCUGGCUCUUUUAGAGUCCGAGUUGUAAUUUGCAGAGGGCGCUUUGGCUUUGGCAGCGGUCCAAGUUCCUUGGAACAGGACGUCACAGAGGGUGAGAAUCCCGUACGUGGUCGCUGGCUAUUGCCGUGUAAAGCCCCUUCGACGAGUCGAGUUGUUUGGGAAUGCAGCUCUAAAUGGGAGGUACAUUUCUUCUAAAGCUAAAUAUUGGCCAGAGACCGAUAGCGCACAAGUAGAGUGAUCGAAAGAUGAAAAGCACUUUGGAAAGAGAGUCAAACAGCACGUGAAAUUGUUAAAAGGGAAGCGCUUGCAGCCAGACUUGCUUACAGUUGCUCAUCCGGGCUUUUGCCCGGUGCACUCUUCUGUAGGCAGGCCAGCAUCAGUUUGGGCGGUAGGAUAAAGGUCUCUGUCACGUACCUCCUUUCGGGGAGGCCUUAUAGGGGAGACGACAUACUACCAGCCUGGACUGAGGUCCGCGCAUCUGCUAGGAUGCUGGCGUAAUGG